Molecule: ribosomal RNA, 423 nt
Filed under: Boana cinerascens group sp. ABGD cluster 20
Lineage: Eukaryota; Metazoa; Chordata; Amphibia; Anura; Hylidae
Description: partial large subunit ribosomal RNA
Rfam family: Bacterial large subunit ribosomal RNA
Source: RNAcentral
CUCGAACCAUCAUGAGAGGUACAGCCUGCCCAGUGACCCAAUGUUCAACGGCCGCGGUAUCCUAACCGUGCGAAGGUAGCGUAAUCACUUGUUCUUUAAAUGAGGACUAGUAUGAAUGGCAUCACGAGGGUUAUACUGUCUCCUUUUUCCAAUCAGUGAAACUAAUCUCCUCGUGAAGAAGCGAGGAUUAUUUUAUAAGACGAGAAGACCCUAUGGAGCUUUAAACUAACCAGCAUUUGCUAUAUUAUAUAAUUUUUCAGAAAUAUAAAAAACAGCUUAGCUCUUUGACUAUAAGUUUUCGAUUGGGGUGAUCACGGAACAAAAAAUAACUUCCGUGCCGAAAGGAUUAUUCCUGAGCCAAAAGUGACAACCUUAAGCACUAAAAAAUUAACGCUUAUUGACCCAAUAAUUUGAUCAACGAAC